This is a long non-coding RNA of Anguilla rostrata (American eel), 5162 nucleotides long. RefSeq lists it as uncharacterized. The transcript is spliced from 2 exons. Lineage: Eukaryota; Metazoa; Chordata; Actinopteri; Anguilliformes; Anguillidae. The record is from RefSeq and is a predicted model, not a curated record.
AACAUGCUCAACCCUAACUGCCAAUUUGGUUGUGGUAUUUCCUGGUGCAGUUUUAUGUGGUGAUUAUUGCAAACAGGACUUGUAGCUUCUGUCUGCAUUGGAAUAGAAACGGUCAGAUGGGUGUGUAACUGCAAUUCCAGGGAACUACGCUUUCCAGAAGAGGGUAGAGGGUUUCCUUGGUAAACCAGCGACAUGUACUUACGUGUGUGAUUGUUUGCAGGUGAUGACAGAUGUUGUUGGGAAUCCUGAGGAGGAAAGGAGGGCAGAGUUUUACCAUGAGCCCUGGUCCCAGAAGGCUGUUAGUCGAUACUUCUAUUGCAAGAUCCAACAGCGGAGGCAAGAGCUGGAGCAGGCCCUGGCGGUGCGCAACACUUAAACUCUUCCCCAGUCACAUGCCCGUUUGCGACUUUCCGCCUUAUAAUUUAGUUCCUGACAGACACACACCCUUCUUGUUUUCUUAUCAGAUAUUUUUGUUUGUUCUAAUUUAAUUUAGUGACCUGCUGUGACCUAUGGCUAAUGACCAAUCUUUGUGUGCCCUAUGUUGUUGGCCCACUUUUCUACCCCAUUGAAGUCAAACUCUGACACCCUCUCAUCCCCCUCAAACACAUUCACACUCGUGUACAUACAGACACACACAGCUGAUUACAGCUUGGUGUGGCCGUCGCUUUCCAUAACCUGAGGAUCACUGGGCAGUUGGCCUUUUCUGAUUCCUUUCAUUGUCUCUUCCUGUAGCGUGUCUGAAUUUUUAGCAUCGUCAACUUGCAGCUCCAGCCAAAAAGACCAUUCGACCUGAUGCCUGGAUAUUCUGUACAGAUUUACAAAGACUGCCCGGGUGCAUGUAUACUGUUUUUGAAUCUCGUCUCAUAGCAUGCGGUUGCAUUCUCUCCGACUGGACUCUGAACUGCAGCUGUGCAAGGGGGGAUGUACUAGGGACAGUUUUGAGCCUGUUUUUGUCACUGUCCUUUCAGUAUCAGUGUCCUUACAAUGAAAUCUUCCAUUGGCUCUGAGUGUGAGCCCACAGUGUCAGUGUUCAACAAAUUCCAUGUCCCAGUCUCUGUGACAAGCCUUCAGUGCUAGCAGUGAGACCCUACCGUUAUAUAUACGCAUAUUGCCUGUGUUAAAACCCUGUUGCGUCUUUGAAAAAAUUUUCGCUAUUGUUUUACACCUGCACUCACACUGAUUGCCCCGAGAGGCUUGACUAUGAGGAAAUAAGGUGUUUAUGAAGAGUCGGGGAAAGGAUAUUGAUCGUUGACUUUGAUUUGUGCUCAUUGUCACGAAUGGCAAAUAGUUUCCUAUGGCACAUGUAGGCAUAUUUAUCGAGGAUCAAGAUGUAGGAGAUGCUUUUGUUGUAAUAACAGAUUCAGACAUUGGUGCUGAGCCUUGGAAUGUACAUCCACUAGAAGACCAACCUGAACUGGUCCGUAGAUGUAGGGCAACUUUCAUGUGGCCGUGGGUAUAUUAAAGUACACAAGUGUAAAAUGCUGUAUCAUAACCAGAAGGUGGAGCCUGUGAGCCUGUACAGCUUGCAUCUGAAGCAGCCUGUUCCCCGUGUAUCAGUGUUUCUGGCAAGAACUAGUGCUGUAAUUAAAGUCAGCGGCAACAAUUUUACAUUCACAGAAGCCGAGUAAACAAGAUUCAAGUCAACCCUUUGUUUUUCAAUCACAACUUCAAGAUCACUGCGAAAUUAAAUGAGAUGUCUCAAACUGUAUUUAUCACAGCUGGAGAUCAAAGAAAAUGACCUGUGGAUUUAAAAUUUUAUGCCUUAAAAUCCCUUAUCCAUGCAAAACAAAACUGAAGUUAUUUCCACUGGCCAGCAUUUUUUUCCAUAGGAACACUUUCUGACAGAUUCCAAACUGCUACAUAAUGUUCCCUCAGUGUAGCUAUGCUGCUGUUGCUGAUGGUACCGGGAAAUGUUACACAUUUGACAGGUUGCUGUACAUUUGGUACUCGUAGGGAAACAGAUGAGUCAAGUUUCAGAAUGAUUUCAGGUAUUUUAUUUAUUUGAUGGAUGUAAAAUGUUUUGUUGCUGAGGGAACAUGGCAUUCACUUAUGAAAAGGUCAUUCUUGAGAACUGUGUUUUAAUUAUCAGUAUUCAUAAUUUUUUUAAUCAUUCAGAAUUCAGUCAUUGUAGAUUUAAAAAAAAAAUGUUGCUAGCAUAUUAAGGGCAAAGUAUACAUCAGCUUUAUGAAACAAAAACAAAUUCAAAAUGACUGUAAAGAAAGGGCCAUGUUUUUCAUAGUGUUAUGAUUGUUAACCUGUUGUUGACUUUUAAGAUACAUUUGCAGUGUUUAUAAGGAUGGUGUUUAAUUUAGGUUGUUAUGAAGGAAAAAAGGUAAUUGUGGCUGUAGGCAUGUCCACAAUAAUUGUUGCCUUAGCAACACAACAGAAGGACAUGGGCACUGUACAGUGGAACCUGUACUGCCACAUCAAACGUGCAUAUGAUGUAAACCAUCUGGGUAUAGGAGUAAGAAUGUUUUCAUAAGUAAUGCAAAUUAAGUUGUGCCCUUCUUGGUGGUUUGAGAAGGAGGAUGGUUCUGCAGUGUGUUUGGGUGUGCUUGAAAUGUUUUCACUUGUCUCCAGGGCAGGGCAGUGUAUUGCUUCAGUAGGACUUUUGUAAUGGGAAUGCAGAUUAAUUGGUGCUGCUGUUUAUGUUGAAACACUGAACUAGGUGUGAACAUUACCCAGAAGGUAACAGAAACUCAGCAGCUUGGGCUGAGGAUGGGCCAGAGCAAAAUGAGUGACGGUGCAAAGAACCGGCCCUGUAGCAUAUCUGCUUCUUGACAACCAUUGCACAAAAUUACAUUCCUCCAGAGCACCCAGAUGGGCAUGACAGCUCUGCAUGGUCCUGAUACUGGACUCUAUAGAAACUGGACUCACAGGCAGUGUGCUGAAGCAAAACACUACCCCCCACAGCUCCCAGCUGGUUCUUAUAUAUAUAUUAUUUAAAUGUAACUGAACACCCCUUCCUUAACAAUUUACAUUGUAAAGGAUUUUUAAUUCCCUCAGCACUCUCCCAUCCAACAAACUAAGAAUCAGUUACGAAGUACGAUGAAUUUAAAAAAGAAAGACAACGAUGCGUUUGUUUCCAACAUUGGGGAAUGUGUUUAUUUUCUCCUGAAACAUUGUCUCCUGGUCACCAUAGGUGUAGGCCCACAUUUGCCUUUUGCUUUAGUUUAGUGUGGUUUAUACUUGUGCCCUGAAAUGUAAGAGAGGAGGUGCCUUGACUGGAGCUGGUGCCUGUUUGGAUAAUAUAGCUGUCUCUGUGCUGUUUUCAUGUCAUGGCACCAUGUAAGUGUAUUUGGUUUUUUAAGACUUUUAAAAUGCCUGAGAAGUGUAGAAUUUUUAAGAAUUCCACUGCCGCAAACAGGACAAGGGAUUAAAAAGACACCUAUGCAUGCAGCAUGGACACAUUUUAUACUUUUUGAAACUAAAUUAUCUUUUAACCAUGAGGAAAUAGUAAUGAAGAACAUUUGAUUGCACUGAGCACCCAUUGUGAAGUAAUCUGCCUGUCUCUGCAAGUUGAAGCAAGCUGGGAGGGUUAGUGGAUUGGCUUAUUCAUAAACUAUGCCACAUACAUAACACUAAAAUAACUGUUUUUAAAUUAUCUUGCUGAUGUACAGAUCAAGUUCGCUAAAUAUUUUUAUUAACAAUCAACCAGUGGCUAGAAGUAUCUGCCUGGCAAUGUGGUCUAUGUUGCACUGACAAGGGGCCUCUUGCUGUACACCACUGUGUUCACAGGGGUCCUGUGGGGAACUAAAUCAUAAGGGAACCUUAAUUUCAGCCCCAGUCCAUAAGGGCUGGCAUUGGCUGUAAGCACUAUAACCCUGGGGUCAGGUGAUUCCCUCCUCCCCUGCCACACAUACACCUUUUAAUCGAGAUACAGAACUUUGCCCUGUAUAGCAAUAUCUCUUGUAUGUUGGCAGGGGGGACACUCCAGAUCUUCCCCGGCAUUAUACUGCUAGUGUUGUUGCAAACCACUGCCAGCGCCUUGACUUCUAGUCAGUAAUUAAAAACGAACUCCCCCCACUUGGGACAAGAGGAAGAACUGCUGUGACUUUCAGAGACAGUGCGGAUGUAAGUAAAGGGAGCGUUUGCCAAAGUUUGUACUUAGUCCCAGGGCCGUGCCCUUUUGUCAGGGUAAUAAAAAUUUCAGAUGUCAGUCAAGCAUUUGAAGCAGUUUAUGUGGCUGUUAUGUGGCUCCUGUUUCUGACAUGUGCCUGGUUAUACAAUGGUGUGUUUAAAAGCCUAGUCUAAUUGUUUGUUUGUUUUUUGUUUUUACCAAAAAAGACCUUAUUUGACAGGAUGGCUUCUGUUGUUGUCUACCGACUGGUGUACAUUUGAAUCAGUGUUACUUUUUGUUCAGUCACAGAUUCAGUUGUCCUCUUUGGCUUCACCUAUGCUCCCUCAAGGAUAUGGAUCCAGGGAGGUACCAAAUAAAUUAAAAAUAAGCAUGCAUGUAUGGUUAAAUAAUGUUCAUUUGCUUCUAAAGCAAAUACAGAUAAAUCACUGUUUUGACAGUGGAAUUGGCUAUAUUGCCAGUUUUGUCAUGUGAGGUGGGGAGAGGCGCAAGCCUGGAACCUGUGGCAGGAGGGGGUCACAUAAAGAAGAAAACCUGAACUGUGACACCACCAGGGAACACAUACAAUUCCCAAAAAUUAAGGAAUCAGCCAGAACCAGGAUUAGGCUAUGGAAAGACAUAUUACCAGUUGACCAAAAUAGACAACCAUCUUUCUGAUCCAAAGGGCUCAAUGUCCUUAUAUUGAGGGCCCAGGAAUGAUUUGUUCUGUCUGCAUGACAGGAAAAAGCUGUUCAAUAACUGAACAUGCAUAACAUUGUUUUACCUAUGUUGACAUGGUAAGACAGUACUGCAUGUUGUACUCCUCUUUGUGUGGUAGAUUAACUGUAGCUCUGCUGGAAAUGAGGGCAUUGGAUAAAACAUAUGCAGUUUACUGUUUUAGUCCCACAGCAAAGUCAACAGCGGCCGAUGAAGACUGAAAUUUGAACAAAAGCCUUUGCAGUAUUAGAAACAAUAGUUUGCAUUGUUCUAGUAGGGGAAACAUUCUUUUCCAUUUAUUUGUUCAGUUCUGUUUUGACUCGAUUGGAGGUGUACUGCCAAUGUCCUGCUGGUUGUAAAAAAACAUUCAAUAAAACAUUUGUAGUGA